GGAGAGAUGGCCGAGUGGUUGAAGGCGCCGGUCUCGAAAACCGGUAUGGGGUAAUAACUUCAUCGAGGGUUCGAAUCCCUCUCUCUCCGCCA
RNAcentral lists this transfer RNA (92 nucleotides) under SAR202 cluster bacterium. Its description in RNAcentral is "tRNA-Ser". It matches the Rfam family "tRNA". Rfam says of the family: Transfer RNA (tRNA) molecules are approximately 80 nucleotides in length. Their secondary structure includes four short double-helical elements and three loops (D, anti-codon, and T loops). Lineage: Bacteria; Bacillati; Chloroflexota; Dehalococcoidia. The record is from RNAcentral.